RNA transcript from Pteropus alecto (black flying fox), 4747 nucleotides. It is a transcript of the gene named pre-mRNA processing factor 4B, with no coding region annotated. The transcript has 16 exons. The record is from RefSeq and is a predicted model, not a curated record. NCBI's taxonomy places the organism in Eukaryota, Metazoa, Chordata, Mammalia, Chiroptera, Pteropodidae.
ACUUUUAUAUCCGGAUUCUUAGAACGGACUCAGAGUUCCACGGUUCCUGACGCGGUUAGCACAUGCGCGACGGCUCUGCUCCCUCUUCCUCCACUUCCACUAUCCUCCACGGUCCGGGGAGCCGCCGCCACCGCCGCGGAGGAGUCAGGAAGUUCAAGAUGGCCGCCGCGGAGGCUCAGUCUCUGCGGGAACAGCCAGAGACAGAAGAUGCCAAUAAUUCUGAAAAGAGUGUAAAUGAAGAAAAUGGAGAAGUAUCAGAAGACCAAUCUCAAAAUAAGCAUAGUCGUCACAAAAAAAAGAAGCAUAAACACAGAAGUAAACAUAAGAAACAUAAACAUUCCUCAGAAGAAGACAAGGAUAAAAAACAUAAACAUAAGCAUAAACAUAAGAAACACAAAAGAAAAGAGGUUAUUGAUGCUUCAGACAAAGAAGGUAUGUCUCCAGCAAAAAGAACUAAACUUGAUGAUUUAGCGUUGCUGGAAGACUUGGAAAAACAGAGAGCCUUGAUUAAAGCUGAACUUGAUAAUGAGUUAAUGGAAGGAAAGGUCCAGUCUGGGAUGGGGCUCAUAUUACAAGGUUAUGAGUCUGGCUCUGAAGAAGAGGGGGAAAUUCAUGAAAAGGCAAGAAAUGGAAAUAGGUCUAGUAUUAGAUCUUCAACUAUAAAGGGGAAACUUGAACUUAUGGACAAUAAAAAUAGUACAAAAAAGCGAAGUAAAAGCAGAUCCAAAGAACGGACUAGACAUAGGUCUGAUAAAAAGAAAAGUAAGGGAGGUGUUGAAGUAGUUAAAGAGAAGACAACCAGGAGCAAAUCAAAGGAGAGGAAAAAGUCCAAAAGUCCAUCCAAAAGAAGUAAGUCUCAAGAUCAAGCAAGAAAAUCAAAAUCUCCUACCCUUAGAAGACGAUCUCAAGAGAAAAUUGGGAAGGCCAGGUCUCCUACUGAUGACAAGGUUAAAAUUGAAGAUAAAAGUAAGUCAAAAGAUAGGAAAAAGUCCCCAAUUAUAAAUGAAAGUAGAAGUCGUGAUCGAGGCAAAAAAUCCAGAUCCCCAGUUGACUUAAGAGGUAAAUCCAAAGACAGAAGGUCACGAUCCAAAGAAAGAAAGUCAAAACGGUCUGAAACUGAUAAAGAAAAGAAGCCGAUUAAAUCUCCCUCUAAAGAUGCUUCUUCUGGAAAAGAAAAUAGGUCACCUAGUAGACGACCUGGUCGUAGUCCUAAAAGAAGAAGUUUGUCUCCAAAACAACGUGAUAAAUCAAGAAGAAGUAGAUCUCCACUUUUAAAUGAUAGGCGUUCUAAGCAGAGCAAAUCACCUUCUCGAACUCUGUCUCCUGGUAGAAGAGCCAAGAGCCGAUCCUUGGACAGAAAACGAAGAGAACCAGAAAGAAGACGACUUUCUUCUCCAAGAACGCGACCUCGAGAUGAUAUCCUCAGUAGACGUGAAAGAUCAAAAGAUGCCAGCCCAAUCAAUAGGUGGUCUCCAACCCGAAGAAGAGCAAGUAGAUCCCCCAUUAGAAGGAGGUCUCGUUCCCCACUCAGACGUAGCAGGUCUCCCAGAAGAAGAAGCAGAUCUCCUCGGAGAAGAGAUAGAGGUCGAAGGAGCAGAUCCCGGCUGAGAAGGCGGUCUCGAUCACGAGGUGGUCGUAGACGUAGGAGCAGAAGCAAAAUAAAGGAAGAUAAAUUUAAAGGAAGUCUUUCUGAAGGAAUGAAAGUUGAGCAAGAAUCUUCAUCUGAUGAUAACCUUGAAGACUUUGAUGUAGAGGAAGAAGAUGAAGAGGCUCUAAUAGAACAGAGAAGAAUACAAAGGCAAGCAAUUGUUCAGAAAUAUAAGUAUCUCGCUGAAGAUAGCAAUAUGUCUGUGCCAUCUGAACCAAGCAGCCCCCAGAGCAGUACUCGUACACGGUCACCUUCUCCAGACGACAUUCUGGAAAGGGUAGCUGCUGAUGUUAAAGAGUAUGAACGAGAAAAUGUUGAUACAUUUGAGGCCUCAGUAAAAGCCAAGCAUAAUCUAAUGACAGUUGAACAAAAUAAUGGUUCAUCUCAAAAGAAGCUGUUGGCACCUGAUAUGUUUACAGAAUCUGAUGAUAUGUUUGCCGCAUAUUUUGAUAGUGCUCGUCUUCGGGCUGCUGGCAUUGGAAAAGAUUUUAAAGAGAAUCCCAACCUCAGGGAUAAUUGGACAGAUGCAGAAGGCUAUUAUCGUGUGAACAUAGGCGAAGUACUAGAUAAGCGCUACAAUGUAUAUGGCUACACUGGUCAAGGUGUAUUCAGUAAUGUUGUACGAGCCAGAGAUAAUGCAAGAGCCAACCAAGAAGUGGCUGUAAAGAUCAUCAGAAACAAUGAGCUCAUGCAAAAAACUGGUUUAAAAGAACUAGAAUUCUUGAAAAAACUUAAUGAUGCUGAUCCUGAUGACAAAUUCCAUUGUUUGCGGCUCUUCAGACACUUUUAUCACAAACAGCAUCUCUGUCUCGUAUUUGAGCCCCUCAGUAUGAAUUUACGAGAGGUGUUAAAAAAAUAUGGUAAGGAUGUUGGUCUUCAUAUUAAAGCUGUAAGAUCCUAUAGUCAGCAGUUGUUCUUGGCAUUGAAACUCCUUAAAAGAUGCAAUAUCCUACAUGCAGAUAUCAAGCCAGACAAUAUCCUGGUUAAUGAAUCAAAAACUAUUUUAAAGCUCUGCGAUUUUGGUUCGGCUUCACAUGUUGCGGAUAAUGACAUAACGCCUUAUCUUGUCAGUAGAUUUUAUCGUGCUCCUGAAAUCAUUAUAGGUAAAAGCUAUGACUAUGGUAUAGAUAUGUGGUCUGUAGGUUGUACCUUAUAUGAACUCUAUACUGGAAAAAUUUUAUUUCCCGGCAAAACCAAUAACCAUAUGUUGAAGCUCGCCAUGGAUCUCAAAGGAAAGAUGCCAAAUAAGAUGAUUCGGAAAGGCGUAUUCAAAGACCAACAUUUUGAUCAAAACCUAAACUUCAUGUACAUAGAAGUUGAUAAAGUAACAGAGAGGGAGAAAGUUACUGUCAUGAGCACCAUUAAUCCAACUAAGGACCUGUUGGCUGACUUGAUUGGGUGCCAGCGACUUCCUGAAGACCAACGUAAAAAAGUACAUCAGCUAAAGGACUUGUUGGACCAGAUUCUAAUGUUGGACCCAGCUAAACGAAUUAGCAUCAACCAGGCCCUACAGCAUGCCUUUAUCCAGGAAAAAAUUUAAGCGAGAUGAAGAAGCUCCAAGGGUUUGAGUAAUUAAAUACAAAGACUGAAGAAAUUUCACAGCAGUUUAUUAAUGUAUAUAAACUUAUAAAUAUUUCUCCAGCAAAUUUGAGAAAGCAUGAUAUAUUUGAAUUAAAACCAAGGGUGAUAUUUCUUUUAGAAAUGUUAGUUAAUCUGUUUUGUGUCUUAUGUGAAAUUUCACUGUAGAACUGUUUUAACUGCCAAGACUGCACAAAAUUACAGUGCUAAUGUAUAUGGUUGCAGUUCACAUAAAAGACAAAAGCAUCUGUUAUAAAAUAAGUAGUAAUACUGGGUGGUUGAUUUAUUUUUAGCAGACUUGGCUUCAUUUUGGUCUUCAGGUAAAAUGGCCAGCAUAAAUGCUGUUUAUAUUCACGUUUUCCUAGGUAUGUGUGUGCAGGCCACAGCAGCAUGCCCUUGGUGUAGUCAGUGCCGAAGGGAGUCUGUUCCUUCUUGAGCCUGCCUGCAGGGAUGGUCUCCUCUUUUAAGCAGGUUGUGUACAACAUUCAGUACACUGAAGGUAAGCUAAACCAUCAACAUCACUGGUGUUUUGCGAUGUUAUUUUAUUGGAGCAAUUGACAAAUGAGGGAUAUUAGCUUUGUGGCAGAAUUCCCUGCAUGUGUGAUAACUGAUCUUGUUUUAUUUUUUGGCAUUGCAACUGUGGCAUAGUUACAAUUUCUGUUCUGUUCAUCACAUUUAAAAUUUGAAGAGUAUGCGCUUGAUGGAUAGAGCGCCUUCAGUGUACUGUUUCUUAUUAACUUAAUUUUUUUUAAUCAACUUGCUAUAGACUUUAUAUACAUUUUGUUAAAUACAGUUCCUAGUGACAUAGAAACAAUGCAUAGUUUUCAUUUACUAACUACAGAUGUUGAGGCGUAAUUCUGAAAGUCCUCAUAUUUAAAAGUUAGACAACAUAAUGAAAUUUUUAACUAUUUGUAUGUCAUUUUGAAAGUGUACUGCUUUAUGGUAAAAGUGUUUUUCAUUUGUUCAUUGUUUUCAUUAUUUGUGAUCAUGUUGUCUUUCAAUACAGGCAUAAACCUUCCACUCUUGAACAAAGCAGCUGCUUUUUAAAAGCGAGAAAAAAGGAAAACGGGGCACAGGCCAUUCAACGCCUUCUCCAAGGGGUCUGAUUUGCUGAGACACCAGCUUCACCUUCUUAACAAGGUUAUUUCUGACAGCAUGUGUAGAUAAACAUUUAGCAACAGUUUAAAACAAAAUCAUGUAAAUCCACUUGGUUUUGCAACACAAAGGAAUUCGUAUUUUUAACAUGAUAGAAGAGAAUUUUCAAAAAUUUAAUCUUUUCUGUUUGGGUGGUAAAAUUAAUUCUUGUCUCCCUGAGGAAUAUGGAAAAUAAUCAGAUUUUAGGGGUUCAAAUAAUAUUUUUAAAUUGUAAAUGGGAUUUUUUUAUUCACCCAGGCACCUAAUUACAACAAGCAUGCACAUUUUGGUGCAUUCAAGAAUGGAAAAUCAGAAUAGCAGCAUUCUUCUGGUGGGUUUUGCUCCAUUUAAAGACAUGAAAUGAACUACAGCCAGGAAGGUGAUAGA